AGUGAACGCUGGCGGUAGGCCUAACACAUGCAAGUCGAACGGCAGCACAGUAAGAGCUUGCUCUUACGGGUGGCGAGUGGCGGACGGGUGAGGAAUACAUCGGAAUCUACUUUUUCGGGGGGGAUAACGUAGGGAAACUUACGCUAAUACCGCAUACGACCUACGGGUGAAAGCAGGGGAGCUUCGGACCUUGCGCGAUUGAAUGAGCCGAUGUCGGAUUAGCUAGUUGGCGGGGUAAAGGCCCACCAAGGCGACGAUCCGUAGCUGGUCUGAGAGGAUGAUCAGCCACACUGGAACUGAGACACGGUCCAGACUCCUACGGGAGGCAGCAGUGGGGAAUAUUGGACAAUGGGCGCAAGCCUGAUCCAGCCAUACCGCGUGGGUGAAGAAGGCCUUCGGGUUGUAAAGCCCUUUUGUUGGGAAAGAACAGCAGCAGGUUAAUCCCCCGCUGUUCUGACGGUACCCAAAGAAUAAGCACCGGCUAACUUCGUG
Molecule: ribosomal RNA, 492 nt
Filed under: uncultured bacterium
Lineage: Bacteria
Description: partial 16S ribosomal RNA
Rfam family: Bacterial small subunit ribosomal RNA
Source: RNAcentral